This is a long non-coding RNA of Numida meleagris (helmeted guineafowl), 5858 nucleotides long. RefSeq lists it as uncharacterized. The record is from RefSeq and is a predicted model, not a curated record. NCBI's taxonomy places the organism in Eukaryota, Metazoa, Chordata, Aves, Galliformes, Numididae. The transcript has 2 exons.
CCCCCACGCUCGGGCCGGGAGCGCCGCAGGGGGGCGCUGCUGCCGCAGGGGGGCGUGCGGGCGGCAGCGGCCGUUGCGAUGGGAGGGGCGGCUGAGCGCCGCCUCCGUGAGGCGCGGGGCUGAAGCGAGCAGCGUGGUGGAAGGCUUUCUCUCGGCCCGGCAGCUCUCACUGGGAGACUUAAGCUGCAUGUCACGUCGGCAUUCCUAAAAUACCGAAGUAAAAGACAAAAAACUUUUCUUCAUAUGGUUGAUGUGGGAAAGUGCGACCGCUGAGGGCGCUGAUAUCACAAAGAGAGGCCCGUUCGCCCAGUGCUGGGCUCUGGCUUAACGCAGAGCGCGGUGUACCUGAGCAGGUCUGAUGUGAUGUGCAGGAGAGCCGUCCUUCUGGCACAGCGCGUUGUCCCUCUGUAGCCAGCGGAAGGACGGAAGUACGCCGUCAUUCCGGGUCAGACAGUCCUGCCGCCCCUCGCCGUGAGUCUCAUACCGUGUGGGUCAAGAACCCCCUACAUGCGGAUCCCGCAGAGCACUGAGCACAGGUGGCUCUGGGAAAGCUGAAGGAGCAUCUUCAUUCUCCAGAUCUCAACUGGAGCACGGUUCUCACCAUCAGGGUGUGGAAACCAUGCCACUGCUGCCCAGACCAGCUGUGCUCUCACCCUGCCACCCUAGAACCUGGGUAGGGUUCAGCAACGGGUUUUGAAUCAGUGAGGCUGUUCCAGCUGAAUCUGUUUGACAGUUGGUUUUCUUUCACCAUUUGCUUUAGUGUUCUAUUCAGAGCAAUUUGAGCCAAUAGUUAAAAACUUCAUCAAGAACUAAGGCAAAAAAAAAUACUGGAAAUCGAAUUUAAGACAAAUCUAAGUUAUUUGCGCUUCUGGCCUAAAUGUUCCUUUCUUAUCUGUGACCCUACACAAACAUUUAGUGAUGAAUCACCUUCUCUAGCUAGCAAGAAUAGUCUCUGAUCUCAGAGUAUCACCUACAUUUGGCCUUGUAAUGACUAUGUCUGAUGUCCUAAGAUGAUUCCUUCUUAGGUAGGCAAAUGCCUGCUGUUAGACAAGAUAAUGAAAGAGCAAAAUGUUUGAUUAUUCUGCAAAGAUUACAAAUGACAUCAGUCAUGAUGUAACCUCGUUUGUGAAACUCUGGGGGAAGAAUGCAUAAUCUAAACAUACAUAAGGUAAAUCCUCCAGCUCUGAAUCAAGCAACUUCACACUGAAGUAGAGAGCCUCUGUCCUUCCCGCCAUCCUUUUUCUUGCUCUGGAUGCUAGCUGUGAUACCAGGAGGACAGCUGACCUUUCACUGAAGCUCCCAAGCCCUGCUGUUCUGCCUUUGGAUCUGUGCUCCACUCAGCAUGCCACCAAACCUUGCGCAUGUUGCAGAGAGGAACCACUUGCACUAUGCCUUGCCUGCCUGCAGAGCUAUCUGUCAACAUGAGUCAUGAGUGGUUUUGGUAUUUGAAGGGGUAAAGUCAGAGAUUAUGGAAAAACUAUGAAGAAAGUGAAGGCUGAAUGAGACUACUAACCAAAGGGGAGGCAAAAGAUGAUCUUUGGACAUCCAGUUUGAACUGGGGCUCAGGAGGUUCGUGUUCAUUCUCUAGCUUGACCACAUUGCAAGCAAGUUGUAAUUGCAUUGCAGGCAAGGUUUUCAUUUAGGUUUUCAUUUCUUAUUUUUACAUCCAGAUCUUAAUUGCUGUUAGAAGAAAGCUGAAAAUGUCACACUUUCACUUGACGCUCAGAAGUGGCACUUUAAGUGGCUGCUGCUGGCUUUUAUUGAAAAUAUCUGCUACUCUCUGGUGCACAUUAUAUUUGAGAGAAGAAUGGGUUAGGAAAAUAAAUCACAUUUAGCAAAGAAUCAGUAGGGUAAUUUUGUGAUCACAUAAUUAGCACACUGUGAAAUUACUGCUAAAUUAUUUGAUCAUCUAUCUAAUAUAUAAGAAUUUUACAAUGUAUUGAUUAUGUUUUGAAAGCAGAUGCUAUUGUAACUGCCUAUGUAGCUGUAGUGUCCUACUGUAGCAUGUAUUAUUGCUGCAUUUUAAAAUUCCUUGUGACUCAAUAUGCUGCUUAUUGUCACAGGUUGUACUGCAUUUGUGAAAAGAAUGAAAACAGGAAUGUAAAGAAAAAUAGCAAGAUUUCUAAGAAUUGGUUCAAAUUUCAACACAGCAUCUUUGUGCAAGAGCCAACAGAGCAGUAGAGCCUACAUUUAGUUGUUCCUAAGAAAUAGCCAUUCUUUGAUCUCACAGCCACAGGCAUAACAAUUUAACUUCUACCUCUGACUACUACUGCUGGGAAUAUCUUGGGGAAAUGCUACCCAUAAGUUAUGGGUUGGGGUAUGAAACAAAGUUGAAGAAAACUCCAGCCCAGGAAUGAGCAGAUAUCUUCAGUGUUGAUGUCCCUAAACCAAGUACAGUUACUCUCGAUUUACAUUGUUAGUUUUCUCCAAGCUUGGACUGUCUUUUUAUGCAGUGGUUAGCACUGGCCCACAGUAGUGGUUUCUACAGUCACUAGAAUAUUUGCAAAAAUAACCCAAGAUGAAACUACAAAUAUCCAGAUGGUUGUGCUGGGCUACUGAUUCCUGCUGCCUUUAUGUAAAUCAUGGGAAGUAACUGACGUUGCACAACAUGACACUAUUGUAGGGAGCAUCAAUCAAGUAGCUCUGAUGAUGCACAAGAAAGUGCAGAGUAAAUAUAAUAUGGCAGUGAGUUCUAAACUUGGAUCCAGUCUUUCCAUCCUCCUUAUUUAGUUGAUUGGACAGGUAACUGCUCACAUGAUCCAGACUGAUCUCUAGUCGCAUAAAGACUUCUGCAGGUUUGGAACUUUAUUGGCUUCCAGGGAGUUGCUAACUCACAAUUUUCAUUCAAAUCUGAACAAGCAUUCUUAGGAUUCACUAAUACACUCCCAAAAGACCAGAUACCGUACCAAUUUGUGGCAGGUUCUGCCUGGCUUGUUGCAAUAAACCAGGCUGCAAAAUCCCCAGGCUGUCCCCUGGGAGGAAGCUGCAGUGAUGAAAAACAGAAACAUCCUCCUGUGCACUGAAGGACCUACAGAGGACAAAACUGGUACAAUCUGUGAUGCACAGGCUGCUCAACGAGCAGAUGUGAAGUAACACUGCUAUAAAAAACCACAGCCUACCGUCUUAUUGCUGGAAUCUUAGGGAAAAGAAGUGCUAUGCAUCAAUGUGUUCUUGGUGGCGCUGUCCCCUUUUAAACUGCAUUGGUCUUUGCAAUCAGUGAAGACUGUAUACCCUUGACUGUACAGCUAAGAGCGUAUUUGUUCCCUGAGUACUUUACUCUCUUGGUGUAAUAGCUGACACUGACAGAUAUUUCCUUCAUUUUGGAAGGCAAAGGUGAGCAUGGCACAGCCUAAUUCCUGUGACGCAAUGUGCAUUCAUUGGCAGUGACUAAUUAUAGCACAGAAGAAUGACUGGCUUCCCCUGCUGAGGACAGAGUACAUGCUCUCCGCAGCACGACUGCACUCUGCUCUUUUUCCUGUGUCAUGAUGCCCACUGACACCACAGUAAAACAGCAGUUUAUCAUUCCUCCUUAAGCUGCUGUGUACCUACAGCUGGAGAUUCCUGAGUCUGCCUCCCUUCUUCAGGGCUAGCUCCAGCUAAGCUCCUGCAGGUCAGCUGUGGCACACUGCACUUCCAGAUCUAGUUGGCUAUUGCCUUGAAGAUCUUAAAUUACUUCCUCACUUACCCUUCAUAACAUUGUUGGAAUUCUGUGUAAGUCCUGCACUUGACCCCAGUACAGGGAGCUAUGAAGCAGGUAAAGUAUGUGCAUUUUUUAAAGAUCAGUUUAUGUUCCCUUCUAAUCAGCAGUGAAAGCAGCUGUCACAAAAAGCAGGUGAUAACUAUGCCAUCUCAAAGCUUACAAGCUUUAGUUACUUCGCAAGAAAUGUAAGCCUAAUGAAUAUAAAAGGUAGAAAUUAAAUGGAAAAUGAAAAAGAAAUACACAGUAGUUAAGAGGCAUUUAUCUUGAUCAACAUGCCAGGGGAGUGCUCUUGGAACACAGGAAAAGAGGAAAUAGGAAAAGAUCUAGUCCACUUUCUUUCCAGGGCAGAAAGUCUUUUACUGAAAAUUAUUCUUGUCAAAAGUGUCUACAGGAAGUUUAUUAAGAUGUUUGAGAACAUUUUAAACUACUUCCUCAGGAGGAAUUAAAUUAUUUUUCUUUCUUUCUUUCUUUUUUUACACUUUUAUGCAAGUUUGAUGCCUGAGCAAAAUGUUUUUGAUGGCUUAGGGACAGAAAUGUUCUAAUUAUUUGCAAAACAGGUACAAAAUAAGUGGGUGCUAUGCAUUGUCCCUUAGAUUGCCUGUCUAAAAUGAUUUGUUACUAUCAAAUAUCCUAAACAAUGCAAGGGGGACCAUAUCAUUUAGUCUCCAAAAACCUCUCUGCCUAGUUAGAGCAGUGUUUGUUUUUCUAAUAUGGGAACUGAGCAGAGAUCAUAAAAUCAUGUAACAGGCCUCCAGAAAGGACUAACAAAUUAUCUCUCAUUUAAAUUGGUAUGACUGGGCAAAUGAGCAUCUCUAGAUUGAACUACUAAAUAUUUAAUCCAGUAUUUUUCACAGGGUUUUUUUUAAUCAGAUGAAGUGCCAUUAUUAAAUGUGGGAAAAAAAAGAAAGAAAAUACAGCCCUCAUUGUCUUUAUAAAAAGGAACUGACGCUUAUUGGCUGUAAAAGUGACAAAUUAUGUUGUAUUUCCUGAGUGGCUGAAAAGCAUACUUGACCUUGAAAAAUAAGUUCUCAGGAGUAGAGAAGCUAGGUUGCCUUUGCUUUAUAUUGUGCAAAAUCUUCAUCUAGGUGCCAUUGUCUGACCGUGUUUCAUGACUACUCUGUGUGUCACAACCCACUCACUCAGAAAUACUGCCUUGAUCCAUCCCUGUAACCAUAAUGAUGAGGAGUGUAACAGCUGGCUAAUUUCAUUACUGCUGAUUUACAGUCACCAGCAGUAUUUCCCAAAUGACAAUGUGACAGCAAACUAGAAUAAUAUUCCUUCCUUCCAAGAGCCGUAGUUGGCUGUAAUUACCUGGAUAUUUGAGGUCUAAGCAAGCACUUGGAUGUUUAAUUGGGACAUACCAGAAACUGAGAAGAUCAGCCAAAUCUUUAAAAAUGAGAUUGCUCAAAAGGACAAAAAAAAAAAAAGUGAAAUAAGUCACAGCAACACAAUACUUGGCUAGUUAAAUCCAUUGUCUGAAUACACGGCACAUACUCCUGUCAGUUCAAAGACAAAACAAAAACCACUGGAGUACUUCUGUGGAGUUUCUUAUUUACUUAAAGCACUAUUAUACAUUUCGUCAGUAGGGCAUCAAACAAUUAAAGCUCUGCAAUGUACAAGGCUAUGUAAUUUCACCAGGGAAACAUAGCCCUAUUUUGUAUAAAACAAAGAAAAAACUUCUCUAACUGAAAAUAUAAAGUCAAUCUGCUACCUCGUCUGAAGCGUAACGUCUAUUUAGCUAGAGAUACGCAAACUAUUGACCAGAAGGACUGCCUCUGAAGAAGAGGGAAUGGCUAAGGUAGGUAGUUUGCUGAAGUUCUGGUGGGUGGGCUCAGACAGAACCCCUGCCCCUGGACUUCUGGAACUGCUAGUGGUCUCUGGGGAAGCAACCUGUCUUGGCUAAGAGGAAGGGCUUUUUAUGCUCCAGUAUAAAGUACGCUACCAGUGUCCUGAUUAGCACAGGAUAAAUAAUUUCCUGUAACUAAUCAAACAAUGAAAUUUGAACUUAGAACGUAACAAGCCAGAUGAAUGGAAGUCUGCACUUCAAAUCAACCAACCCAGCACGUUGUGAAGUCUGACCAGCCUUACCUAUUCUAAGGAGCUAUUAAAUAUGUUACCUAGCCUGUUUGAAUAAUAAACUUUAAUCCUGAACAACUUA